UUCAGUUUCUUGUAACAGUUAUAGGUGCAAGUACAGCCGUUUGCAUAGUACUUCAUUUGUAUGUGAAAACAUUAAAGAUCCGAAAAACCUGCUUCCAUCCGAAACACAAUUUGCUGCUGCUGCUGCUGCAGCAUGAUUAUUGGUGCAUGCCAUAGGGAGACUUCUGCGUGCUGAUGCAAAAAUUCCUCAGUCUGGUCAAUUAUAGCUGAUACACAAGGGCAUCAGCUUAGACCAGGAUCUUCCAUGAAAAAGCCCGGGGGUUCCUAAGCAAUUGAUGUUAAGCUGCCCUUGUAAAGCUGGGGGAGUCCUCUGCUGAGAUCAAAGAGGCAGCGAUACAGAAGGUCAAGGCGUAGGCCCUGGGAGUCCUUUAUUCUCUCUCUCCCUCCCUUCCCUUUCACUCACUUGGAAGCCUUGUCUGUCUCUCAUGACUUUGAAGUUCUGACACAACUUAGGCUUUUCUGAUCAUAGGCGGCUGGUUGCUAUAACCCUGCCUUUCUUUGCUUUGACAGAUAAUGUGAACAAGGAAGAAGGCAGCUCAGCAGGGCUCCAUGGAGGGGGCAAAACGUCCUUCCCGGAAAUAUUGGGCUGCAUCCAGGCACUAUCGGGAAACACGGUAGUUCACUGCACGGAGGGCAAGUAUAGAAAAACUCCACCCCACCAGCAGCCCUUUUCUGGCUCACUGGCUGAGCAUGUAAGUGUAUA
Molecule: long non-coding RNA, 702 nt
Filed under: Pogona vitticeps (central bearded dragon)
Lineage: Eukaryota; Metazoa; Chordata; Lepidosauria; Squamata; Agamidae
Description: lncRNA (ENSPVIG00000005355.1)
Source: RNAcentral